Drosophila subpulchrella is the source of this 648-nucleotide long non-coding RNA. RefSeq lists it as uncharacterized. The record is from RefSeq and is a predicted model, not a curated record. NCBI's taxonomy places the organism in Eukaryota, Metazoa, Arthropoda, Insecta, Diptera, Drosophilidae. The transcript has 3 exons.
CAUUUUCGAGCCGUUGGAUGGCUCCUGGGCCUGCACCAACAAAUUGCUUAUUGGUGUUAAAAUAUAUGUUCUCAAAUCAAAAAAAAAGUAUAAAAAUCGCCUAAGCUCGUAAAAAGUACUGAGUAAAAGCACUGAAAUACUGAAUCGAUUUGCGUGUGCGGUUCCAUUUUCCUAUAGUCUAGUACUCACAUUGACGAAAACCGCUAGCCAUAGGAGUGAGCGAGCGGCAAAUACGCGGCAAACGCUUUUCGUCGGGCCUGUUUUUCAGCGCGGCUCUCAGAUGAGCUAAGGAAAUACCAGAAAAAAAAUAGCUGAUCUAGCGAGUAAAUUUUGAUGAACGCCGUUAGCCGCGACCCAAAGAUUAAAAUAUGUAUUCUUCGGCGGUGUUCGUGCAAAAGCGGUGCCAAAGCUAAAAAUUAAUAAUGGCAGGAAAACUCCAAAAUCGCCUGCAGGAGACAGCAAUAGCACAAUGGGGUAAAUCCGCAGAAUAGUAGAAGUGCUGGAUGAGAUCCAAUAGAAAAUCCCAGAGGGAAGGAACAUGACGACUGGGACAUCGCCCCAUACAUCGACAUCCUGCCGGACGUAUCCUCGCAGAGAAAGAAGAACCACCGGAACGAUCUCCGAUGAGCUCUCCACUGGGGGACCACA